AACUCUGAGAGGUGGAUCAUUCGGCUUGUGCAUUGAGGAAGAAUGCAUCUAGCUGAGAGAACUAAUGUGAAUUGCAGGACACAUUGAUCAUCGGCACUUUGAACGCACUUUGUGGCCCUGGGUUAUUCCUGGGGCCACACCUGUCUGAGGGUCG
Ribosomal RNA from Protopterus annectens (West African lungfish), 154 nucleotides. RefSeq annotates it as 5.8S ribosomal RNA. The transcript has a single exon. Lineage: Eukaryota; Metazoa; Chordata; Ceratodontiformes; Protopteridae. The record is from RefSeq and is a predicted model, not a curated record.